AGCGAACGUUUGCGGCGGGCCUAACACAUGCAAGUCGAACGCACUAGCAAUAGUGAGUGGCGCACGGGUGCGUAACACGUGGGUAAUCAACCCUUCAGCUUGGGAUAACGACUUGAAAGGGUCGCUAAUACCGGAUACGGCGCGGGAGGCUUCGGCUUCUCACGAGAAAGCCUCGCAAGGGGCACUGAAGGACGAGCCUGCGGCCCAUCAGCUAGUUGGUGAGGUAAGAGCUCACCAAGGCGAAGACGGGUAGCUGGUCUGAGAGGAUGAUCAGCCACACUGGAACUGAGACACGGUCCAGACUCCUACGGGAGGCAGCAGUGGGGAAUAUUGCGCAAUGGGCGAAAGCCUGACGCAGCCACGCCGCGUGAGCGAUGAAGGCCUCGGGUCGUAAAGCUCUGUGGGGAGAGACGAAGAAAGCCCGUGAAGAGCGGGCCUUGACGGUAUCUCCUUAGCAAGCACCGGCUAACUCCGUGCCAGCAGCCGCGGU
RNAcentral lists this ribosomal RNA (490 nucleotides) under uncultured bacterium. RNAcentral's name for it is "bacterial SSU rRNA". It matches the Rfam family "Bacterial small subunit ribosomal RNA", at positions 29 to 521 of the family's 1533-position model. The record is from RNAcentral.